RNAcentral lists this ribosomal RNA (497 nucleotides) under uncultured bacterium. Its description in RNAcentral is "partial 16S ribosomal RNA". It matches the Rfam family "Bacterial small subunit ribosomal RNA", at positions 28 to 507 of the family's 1533-position model. The record is from RNAcentral.
GACGAACGCUGGCGGCGUGCCUAAUACAUGCAAGUUGAGCGCUGAAGGUUGGUACUUGUACCAACUGGAUGAGCAGCGAACGGGUGAGUAACGCGUGGGGAAUCUGCCUUUGAGCGGGGGACAACAUUUGGAAACGAAUGCUAAUACCGCAUAAAAACUUUAAACACAAGUUUUAAGUUUGAAAGAUGCAAUUGCAUCACUCAAAGAUGAUCCCGCGUUGUAUUAGCUAGUUGGUGAGGUAAAGGCUCACCAAGGCGAUGAUACAUAGCCGACCUGAGAGGGUGAUCGGCCACAUUGGGACUGAGACACGGCCCAGAAUCCUACGGGAGGCAGCAGUAGGGAAUCUUCGGCAAUGGACGAAAGUCUGACCGAGCAACGCCGCGUGAGUGAAGAAGGUUUUCGGAUCGUAAAACUCUGUUGGUAGAGAAGAACGUUGGUGAGAGUGGAAAGCUCAUCAAGUGACGGUAACUACCCAGAAAGGGACGGCUAACUACGUG